GACGAACGCUGGCGGCGUGCCUAAUACAUGCAAGUCGAGCGAGUCUGCCUUGAAGAUCGGAGUGCUUGCACUCUGUGAAACAAGAUACAGGCUAGCGGCGGACGGGUGAGUAACACGUGGGUAACCUGCCCAAGAGAUCGGGAUAACACCUGGAAACAGAUGCUAAUACCGGAUAACAACAGAUGGUGCCUAUCAACUGUUUAAAAGAUGGUUCUGCUAUCACUCUUGGAUGGACCUGCGGUGCAUUAGCUAGUUGGUAGGGUAACGGCCUACCAAGGCGAUGAUGCAUAGCCGAGUUGAGAGACUGAUCGGCCACAUUGGGACUGAGACACGGCCCAAACUCCUACGGGAGGCAGCAGUAGGGAAUCUUCCACAAUGGACGCAAGUCUGAUGGAGCAACGCCGCGUGAGUGAAGAAGGGUUUCGGCUCGUAAAGCUCUGUUGUUGGUGAAGAAGGACAGGGGUAGUAACUGACCUUUGUUUGACGGUAAUCAAUUAGAAAGUCACGGCUAACUACGUG
RNAcentral lists this ribosomal RNA (519 nucleotides) under uncultured bacterium. Its description in RNAcentral is "partial 16S ribosomal RNA". It matches the Rfam family "Bacterial small subunit ribosomal RNA", at positions 28 to 507 of the family's 1533-position model. The record is from RNAcentral.